This 430-nucleotide ribosomal RNA is filed under the name uncultured deep-sea archaeon. RNAcentral's name for it is "bacterial SSU rRNA". It matches the Rfam family "Archaeal small subunit ribosomal RNA", at positions 384 to 822 of the family's 1478-position model. The record is from RNAcentral.
AGUGUUCAAUAGAACUGUGGUAGGUGAGUAAUGUCCCCUACUAGAAGGGAGAGGGCAAGGCUGGUGCCAGCCGCCGCGGUAAAACCAGCUCUUCAAGUGGUCGGGAUAAUUAUUGGGCUUAAAGUGUCCGUAGCCGGUUUAGUAAGUUCCUGGUAAAAUCGGGUAGCUUAACUAUCUGCAUGCUAGGAAUACUGCUAUACUAGAGGGCGGGAGAGGUCUGAGGUACUACAGGGGUAGGGGUGAAAUCUUAUAAUCCUUGUAGGACCACCAGUGGCGAAGGCGUCAGACUGGAACGCGCCUGACGGUGAGGGACGAAAGCCAGGGGAGCGAACCGGAUUAGAUACCCGGGUAGUCCUGGCCGUAAACGAUGCAUACUAGGUGAUGGUACGGCCAUGAGCCGUAUCAGUGCCGUAGGGAAACCGUUAAGUGU